This 269-nucleotide ribosomal RNA is filed under the name uncultured archaeon. RNAcentral's name for it is "partial 16S ribosomal RNA". It matches the Rfam family "Archaeal small subunit ribosomal RNA", at positions 477 to 746 of the family's 1478-position model. The record is from RNAcentral.
CAGCACCUCAAGUGGUCAGGAUGAUUAUUGGGCCUAAAGCAUCCGUAGCCGGCUCUGUAAGUUUUCGGUUAAAUCUGUACGCUUAACGUACAGGCUGCCGGGAAUACUGCAGAGCUAGGGAGUGGGAGAGGUAGACGGUACUCGGUAGGAAGGGGUAAAAUCCUUUGAUCUAUUGAUGACCACCUGUGGCGAAGGCGGUCUACCAGAACACGUCCGACGGUGAGGGAUGAAAGCUGGGGGAGCAAACCGGAUUAGAUACCCGAGUAGUC